This 651-nucleotide ribosomal RNA is filed under the name uncultured beta proteobacterium. Its description in RNAcentral is "bacterial SSU rRNA". It matches the Rfam family "Bacterial small subunit ribosomal RNA", at positions 10 to 653 of the family's 1533-position model. The record is from RNAcentral. Lineage: Bacteria; Pseudomonadati; Pseudomonadota; Betaproteobacteria.
AGUUUGAUCAUGGCUCAAAUUGAACGCUGGCGGAAUGCUUUACACAUGCAAGUCGAACGGCAGCACGGAGAGCUUGCUCUCUGGUGGCGAGUGGCGAACGGGUGAGUAAUAUAUCGGAACGUGUCCAAUAAUGGGGGAUAACGAGUCGAAAGAUUUGCUAAUACCGCAUACGCCCUACGGGGGAAAGCAGGGGAUCGUAAGACCUUGCGUUAAUGGAGCGGCCGAUAUCUGAUUAGCUUGUUGGUGAGGUAAAGGCUCACCAAGGCGACGAUCAGUAGCUGGUUUGAGAGAACGACCAGCCACACUGGAACUGAGACACGGUCCAGACUCCUACGGGAGGCAGCAGUGGGGAAUUUUGGACAAUGGGGGCAACCCUGAUCCAGCCAUUCCGCGUGAGUGAAGAAGGCCUUCGGGUUGUAAAGCUCUUUCGCAAGGGAAGAAAACUUAUGAUCGAAUAAAUCAUGAGGUUGACGGUACCUUGAUAAGAAGCACCGGCUAUCUACGUGCCAGCAGCCGCGGUAAUACGUAGGGUGCGAGCGUUAAUCGGAAUUACUGGGCGUAAAGCGUGCGCAGGCGGUUUUGUAAGUCGGAUGUGAAAUCCCCGGGCUCACCUGGGAACUGCGUUCGAAACUGCAAGGCUAGAGUGUGUCA